Molecule: ribosomal RNA, 876 nt
Filed under: Odoribacter sp.
Lineage: Bacteria; Pseudomonadati; Bacteroidota; Bacteroidia; Bacteroidales; Odoribacteraceae
Description: partial 23S ribosomal RNA
Rfam family: Bacterial large subunit ribosomal RNA
Source: RNAcentral
AUAGAAGCAAACAAGAGCGUACGGUGGAUGCCUAGGCUCUCACAGGCGAAGAAGGACGUGAUAAGCUGCGAUAAGCCGCGGGUAGGUGCAAAUAACCAUAGAUUCGCGGAUUUCCGAAUGGGGCAACCCGUCAUAUUGAAGAUAUGUCAUACCUUAUAAGGUAAGCAAACGCAGGGAACUGAAACAUCUAAGUACCUGCAGGAGAAGAAAACAACAGUGAUUCCCCCAGUAGCGGCGAGCGACCGGGGAAUAGCCCAAACCGUUCGUGUUUCGGCACGGACGGGGUAGUAGGAUCACGUAAUUGAUGUAGUAAAUGAAAUGGAAUGCUUUGGAAAAAGCAGUCAUAGAGGGUGAUAAUCCCGUACAUGUAAGUUUAUACAUUAUAGUGAUAUCCUGAGUAAGGCGGGACACGUGGAAUCCUGUCUGAAACGGCCGGGACCAUCCGGCAAGGCUAAAUACUCGUGAGAGACCGAUAGUGAACCAGUACUGUGAAGGAAAGGUGAAAAGCACCGUGAACAACGGAGUGAAAUAGUUCCUGAAACCGUACGCUUACAAGCAGUCGGAGCCCUUAAUUGGGGUGACGGCGUGCCUUUUGCAUAAUGAGCCUACGAGUUAGUCAUUACCAGCGAGGUUAAGUGCAUGGAUGUACGUAAGCCGAAGCGAAAGCGAGUCUUAAUAGGGCGUUAAGUUGGUAGUGCUAGACGCGAAACCUUAGUGAUCUACCCAUGAGCAGGUUGAAGGUUUGGUAACACAAACUGGAGGACCGCACCGAUAAGCGUUGAAAAGCUUCCGGAUGACUUGUGGGUAGGGGUGAAAGGCCAAUCAAACUGGGAAAUAGCUCGUACUCUCCGAAAUGCAUUUAGGUGCAGCCUCUGU